CAUCCUGUGUGAAGGAUACAUUGUCCCUUUGAGGCACUCUUGUUGUUCCAAGUGCCUAUAAUCAAUAAUACAAGAUCUCUUUAGUGAGUUUAGUGUUAAGACAAAACUGUCUAUACGAAAAAACGAUCUCAUUUUUUGAAGUGUAACCAAAUAACAUUAAAACAUGUUAAUAAUAAUAAAUAAAAAAAACAUAAGGUAAAAACACAAGCAUUAGAGCCUAAGCCCCANACAAACAAAAACUAGAACCUGAACCCCAAACAUAGAAAUCAUAGGAAAACACUUAGGUCCUAGGAAAUAGAAAAACACUUAGACUAAAACAACCCGACGCAUGACUAGACGAUGUCUUGUCUAAAGGCGUCCAAAAUAGAAUUGAGCUAAUCGCUCAGUGCUUAAAAUACCUGAAGUAGUUAUUUUGCUUCUCUCGAAAACAAAACAGGUCGAGACAAUGUCUUCGACUAAAAUAAUAAAAGACAUAAUUGUUAAAACAUAUAAAAAAGGUUAAACAAGCUAAACACUAUCUGUCUAGAAAGAAACAAAAGCCAAAGAAGUGUUUACUUGGAUCAAAACGAUACCAUGAG
RNAcentral lists this long non-coding RNA (578 nucleotides) under Vigna radiata. RNAcentral's name for it is "long non-coding RNA (VRAD_LNC002181)". The record is from RNAcentral. Lineage: Eukaryota; Viridiplantae; Streptophyta; Magnoliopsida; Fabales; Fabaceae.